Molecule: transfer RNA, 71 nt
Filed under: Coemansia sp. RSA 2598
Lineage: Eukaryota; Fungi; Kickxellomycota; Kickxellomycetes; Kickxellales; Kickxellaceae
Also listed under: 1 other name
Description: tRNA-Gly
Rfam family: tRNA
About the family: Transfer RNA (tRNA) molecules are approximately 80 nucleotides in length.
Source: RNAcentral
GCGACGUUAGUUUAGAGGUAAAAUCGCUGCUUCCCAAGCAGCUGUCCCGGGUUCGAUUCCCGGACGUCGCA